This 301-nucleotide ribosomal RNA is filed under the name uncultured bacterium. RNAcentral's name for it is "partial 16S ribosomal RNA". It matches the Rfam family "Bacterial small subunit ribosomal RNA", at positions 509 to 807 of the family's 1533-position model. The record is from RNAcentral.
CAGCCGCCGCGGUAAAACGUAGGGUGCAAGCGUUAAUCGGAAUUACUGGGCGUAAAGCGUGCGCAGGCGGUUAUAUAAGUCAGAUGUGAAAUCCCCGGGCUCAACCUGGGAACUGCAUUUGAGACUGUAUGGCUAGAGUGUGUCAGAGGGGGGUAGAAUUCCACGUGUAGCAGUGAAAUGCGUAGAGAUGUGGAGGAACACCGAUGGCGAAGGCAGCCCCCUGGGCCAAUACUGACGCUCAUGCACGAAAGCGUGGGGAGCAAACAGGAUUAGAUACCCCCGUAGUCCCUGUCUCUUAUAC